RNAcentral lists this unclassified non-coding RNA (1949 nucleotides) under Hevea brasiliensis (rubber tree). Lineage: Eukaryota; Viridiplantae; Streptophyta; Magnoliopsida; Malpighiales; Euphorbiaceae. The record is from RNAcentral.
AAAGUUCUAAACUCUAAUUAUUAGGGUCAUUCUUAAAAAGUUGAUUUCCAACCCUCCAAAACAAAGGCACAAUCUAUAUAUUACCAGAAUCUACGAAGUUAAAAGGUGCCAAAACCAAUCAAGAUUCAUGCACAGGACUGGGAAAGCACAUAAACAAUAACCCUCUCUAUUCUCUCAUUGCUUCCCACAAAAUCUAUCGAACGAGAAAAGUUAUCAGAAAAGUUUCUGAAUCAAGUACAGACAAAAACCAUGAACCAUUUUCGUAUAGCAUUUGGGUUAAGCUGUAUCAAGAAGAAAUGGUGCCAACAUCUCCAAUUCAAGAGUGGAGAGGCAACAUAAACUUCAUUUGGAUCCCAUGCAUUAUCUUUAAUGCCAGCUUCGAAUUGAUGCACUUUGCAACAUCUUUGUAGAAGGCAUUGAUCUCCUCCUCUGUAAGGCCACCCUCAUCAGCAUUUUCCUCCCAGCCCAUAGAACGCAAAAGUGCAGCCUCUUCCUCGUCUGAACACAACAUUGCAUCACAAGUUGAAAAGCUCUUGUCAGUAUUCUUUCCGUCGAAAGAGUCACUGUUGCAUGUAUUUUCACCCAAGACCUCAGUUGAUUGCUCCACCCUUGGGGUCUCAUCAGAUAGUGAAGCAUCUUGAUCCUGAGGGAUGCCAUGUGCAUUAGAUUUCUUUCUCAUACGAUCAAAGAAAUCAUUCCGACUCUGAGCUUGGGAUGAUAGUUUCUUUUGCACCAUUGUCCCAACAGGCUUGGGUUCAAAGGUAGAGGGAGCUGCAAUAUUUCCUGGACUGUGUGUAGAAGCAGACACAGGAACGGCCAAAUGCGCAUUUGGACCUCUGCUGUGUAUAUUUGGGCUCAGGCUACUGUUAACAACAGAAGAAACACCAUUCCUGUCACUUGUUAGCUUAGAGACGUGAAUCCUGCUUGAGAUGCAGACACUUGAGAGAUUGUGACUGACAGGAUGAGACGAUGAGACAGUUUGUUGCCGCAACUCAACCUUAGUUCUUGAUUUAUCAGAAUGAUUUGGCACCGAGGCCUUAGCCACCAGUGGUAUCAAUUGCCUAGAUUGCUUCAUAGCAAGCUCUUCAAGUCGGUGAUUUGCUUGGGACACCUGGGAAAUAGUCUGAGCACAAGGAAGACCCUUAGCGACAGUUUCAGCCAUAUUAAGACAUCUGCCACUUGACUUGCUAAAAGUUGGAGAAGAAGGUCCAGAAGAGGCAGCUCGUUUCAUGGAAGAUAGACCAGAGUUAUCGUUACCGGCAACUGCGGUAGUGACUGCUAAUGCAGAUGCCAACUUGUUGACAGUAGUGCCUGACGGACUAGUUGGUAUACCCUGAGUCCUAGUACCCAAACCAGGAGAUCCGACACUUCCAAGGCCAGGUGAUGUUUGUCGUUUUUCAGUUACUAAGGGUCGGAUGCCACAUUCAAUUGCUUUAUCCGCAAGCACGCCAUUGUUGUCAGUUAGUUUGAUCUUACCAGCAUUGCUCAAAUUCCUAGGCCAUUUCUCACUAAUUCUACCAGAAGUCAUUGAAGGUGACUGUCUUAACCCUUCCUCAAAUAUUUCCAAGUGAUGUUUCCUGGAAUUAUCGGAAAAGUCCCUAGACCUAUGAUUUCUUAAAGUUGAUGUCUCCCGGUACUUGCUAAUGUCUUUAUCCAUGUCUCUGUGAUGAUUUCUAAAAUUAUUAUAAGAUUGAAAGUUAAGGGAGUUACUACUGUUGGAGCUCCACCGAGUCCGUGAAGAGAUGGCUCGAUCAGAUGAAGAACCAGGACACCUCCACUCUUUAUUGUCCGUAUUCACUGACAGUGAUCUCUUGUGUGCAUGUUUUGAUGGGGCUGCAUCAUCUGGAUGCAACCGGGAUGAUGCGGAGACGAAGCUUGUCGCAUGUUUACCGCUCCUUAACCAUUGUGGGGCUAAUGUAGGUUCACUUGUUUCCAUCCUAACCUAUUUU